RNAcentral lists this ribosomal RNA (441 nucleotides) under uncultured bacterium. RNAcentral's name for it is "partial 16S ribosomal RNA". It matches the Rfam family "Bacterial small subunit ribosomal RNA", at positions 338 to 795 of the family's 1533-position model. The record is from RNAcentral.
CCUACGGGAGGCAGCAGUGGGGAAUCUUGCACAAUGGGGGAAACCCUGAUGCAGCAACGCCGCGUGAGUGAAGCAGGUUUUCGGAUCGUAAAGCUCUGUUAGCAGGGAAGAGGAAGGACGGUACCUGCAGAGGACGCCACGGCUAACUACGUGCCAGAAGCCGCGGGAAGACGUAGGUGGCAAGCGUUGUUCGGAAUAACUGGGCGUAAAGGAUGCGUAGGCGGUUAACCAAGUAAUAUGGUAAAUAUAUAGGCUUAACCUGUAGAAAGCAUAUAAAACUGGUUAACUAGAGUGCAGGAGAGGUAAGUGGAAGUCGUAGUGUAGCGGUGAAAUGCGUAGAGAUUAGGAAGAACACCAGUGGCGAAGGCGACUCACUGGACUGUAACUGACGCUGAGGCAUGAGAGCAUGGGGAGCAAACAGGAUUAGAUACCCCAGUAGUC